CCCUUGCUUGGGUUAUUUUGCACACUCUGCCCAGUGUCUGUGCCUUUCACAAACAAAUGGCUAUUGUGUCAGAGACUUUGUCCAGGGCAGGUCCUGCCUGGAACCCUGCUUCCUCUUGGCCCAAUGGACUCCCCCUGCAGAGGACCUGGCUUCUGAGCAACAAGAUUUUGUCUGUUUUACUGAUGGCUCCGUUCACUUCAAGAGAGGCAAAGACCCAUGAGCUCAGCUUAUCCAGUGCGGGUCCUGCCGAGUCCUUCCUCUGAGAGAGCUCCAGGGUGGAAUGGCUGGCAUCUGAGAGGGCCUUGAGGGAAGGAGCAGAGAUCUCCUCCCUCAGUGACUGCUGGUCCCUAGAGUUUGAUUGGUACCAGGCCCCCGUGGCUGGGUUAGGUGCUGAGAGAUCAGGUUUCUGCCUAAAGGAACUCUGGAACUAAAUGUGUCUUCUUUCAAAUUUCACUCAUAAAUACUCUCAAGAUAACUUGUUUGAGCAUCCUGUGAUUAUUCAUAUCAAGCAAAGUAAAGGAAAUAUACAAUCUCCAAAGGCACUGUCCUCUGUCAUGAAGAAUUCAAGCUGAAGAAAGAACUUCGGAGGUGGUGAAGUCCUCCAGAUGCUCCUCUGUGCCAGUU
RNAcentral lists this long non-coding RNA (624 nucleotides) under Sarcophilus harrisii (Tasmanian devil). RNAcentral's name for it is "lncRNA (ENSSHAG00000032289.1)". Lineage: Eukaryota; Metazoa; Chordata; Mammalia; Dasyuromorphia; Dasyuridae. The record is from RNAcentral.